CAGCAGCCGCGGUAAUACGAAGGGUGCAAGCGUUACUCGGAAUUACUGGGCGUAAAGCGUGCGUAGGUGGUGGUUUAAGUCCGUUGUGAAAGCCCUGGGCUCAACCUGGGAAUUGCAGUGGAUACUGGGUCACUAGAGUGUGGUAGAGGAUAGUGGAAUUUCCGGUGUACCAGUGAAAUGCGUAGAGAUCGGAAGGAACAUCUGUGGCGAAGGCGACUAUCUGGGCCAACACUGACACUGAGGCACGAAAGCGUGGGGAGCAAACAGGAUUAGAUACCCCAGUAGUCCCUGUCUCUUAUAC
This 301-nucleotide ribosomal RNA is filed under the name uncultured bacterium. RNAcentral describes it as "partial 16S ribosomal RNA". It matches the Rfam family "Bacterial small subunit ribosomal RNA", at positions 509 to 807 of the family's 1533-position model. The record is from RNAcentral.